This 253-nucleotide ribosomal RNA is filed under the name uncultured bacterium. RNAcentral's name for it is "partial 16S ribosomal RNA". It matches the Rfam family "Bacterial small subunit ribosomal RNA", at positions 524 to 776 of the family's 1533-position model. The record is from RNAcentral.
UACGGAGGGGGCGAGCGUUAUUCGGAAUUAUUGGGCGUAAAGGGCGCGUAGGCGGCUUGGUAAGUCAAAGGUGAAAUCCCUCGGCUCAACUGAGGAAUUGCCUUUGAAACUGCCAGGCUUGAGGCCGGGAGGGGGUAGCGGAAUUCCCAGUGUAGCGGUGAAAUGCGUAGAUACUGGGAGGAACACCAGUGGCGAAGGCGGCUACCUGGACCGGAACUGACGCUGAUGCGCGAAAGCGUGGGGGGCAAACAGG